RNAcentral lists this ribosomal RNA (739 nucleotides) under uncultured Providencia sp. RNAcentral describes it as "bacterial SSU rRNA". It matches the Rfam family "Bacterial small subunit ribosomal RNA", at positions 760 to 1502 of the family's 1533-position model. Lineage: Bacteria; Pseudomonadati; Pseudomonadota; Gammaproteobacteria; Enterobacterales; Morganellaceae. The record is from RNAcentral.
GGUGGGGAGCAAACAAGAUUAGAUACCCUGGUAGUCCACGCCGUAAACGAUGUCGAUUUGGAGUUUGUUGCCUAGAGUGAUGGGCUCCGAAGCUAACGCGAUAAAUCGACCGCCUGGGGAGUACGGCCGCAAGGUUAAAACUCAAAUGAAUUGACGGGGGCCGCACAGCGGUGGAGCAUGUGGUUUAAUUCGAUGCAACGCGAAGAACCUUACUGGUCUUGACAUCCAUAGAAUUCUGCAGAGAUGUGGGAGUGCCUUCGGGAACUAUGAGACAGGUGCUGCAUGGCUGUCGUCAGCUCGUGUUGUGAAAUGUUGGGUUAAGUCCCGCAACGAGCGCAACCCUUACUCUUUGUUGCCAGCGAUUUGGUCGGGAACUCAAAGGAGACUGCCGUUGAUAAAGCGGAGGAAGGUGGGGACGACGUCAAGUCAUCAUGGCCCUUACGACCAGGGCUACACACGUGCUACAAUGGCGUAUACAAAGGGAAGCGAAGGUGCGAGCUGGAGCGGAUCUCAUAAAGUACGUCUAAGUUCGGAUUGGAGUCUGCAACUCGACUCCAUGAAGUCGGAAUCGCUAGUAAUCGUAGAUCAGAAUGCUACGGUGAAUACGUUCCCGGGCCUUGUACACACCGCCCGUCACACCAUGGGAGUGGGUUGCACCAGAAGUAGAUAGCUUAACCGCGAGGGGGGCGUUUACCACGGUGUGAUUCAUGACUGGGGUGAAGUCGUAACAAGGUAACCA